RNAcentral lists this ribosomal RNA (468 nucleotides) under uncultured bacterium. RNAcentral describes it as "partial 16S ribosomal RNA". It matches the Rfam family "Bacterial small subunit ribosomal RNA", at positions 28 to 507 of the family's 1533-position model. The record is from RNAcentral.
GAUGAACGCUGGCGGCGUGCUUAACACAUGCAAGUCGAACGGAAAGGCCCAAGCUUUCUUGGGUACUCGAGUGGCGAACGGGUGAGUAACACGUGGGUGAUCUGCCCUGCACUUCGGGAUAAGCCUGGGAAACUGGGUCUAAUAUCGGAUAGGACGUUGUGUUGGAUGCGAUUGUGGAAAGUUUUUUCGGUGUGGGAUCAGUUCGCGGCGUAUCCGCUUGUUGUUGGGGUAUUGGCCUACCAAGGCGUUGACGGGUAGCCGGCCUGAGAGGGUGUACGGCCACAUUGGAACUGAGAGACGGCCCGGACUCCUGCGGGAGGCAGCAGUGGGGAAUAUUGCACGAUGGGCGGAAGCCUGAUGCAGCGAGGCCGCGUGGGGGAUGACGGCCUUCGGGUUGUAAGCUCCUUUCGCUAGGGACGAAGCGUUUUUGUGACGGUACCUGGAGAAGAAGCACCGGCUAACUACGUG